RNAcentral lists this transfer RNA (70 nucleotides) under Stegodyphus mimosarum. It matches the Rfam family "tRNA". Rfam says of the family: Transfer RNA (tRNA) molecules are approximately 80 nucleotides in length. Their secondary structure includes four short double-helical elements and three loops (D, anti-codon, and T loops). Further hydrogen bonds mediate the characteristic L-shaped molecular structure. tRNAs have two regions of fundamental functional importance: the anti-codon, which is responsible for specific mRNA codon recognition, and the 3' end, to which the tRNAs corresponding amino acid is attached (by aminoacyl-tRNA synthetases). tRNAs cope with the degeneracy of the genetic code in two manners: having more than one tRNA (with a specific anti-codon) for a particular amino acid; and 'wobble' base-pairing, i.e. permitting non-standard base-pairing at the 3rd anti-codon position. Lineage: Eukaryota; Metazoa; Arthropoda; Arachnida; Araneae; Eresidae. The record is from Rfam by way of RNAcentral.
GCUCUCGUGGUGUAACGGUAACAUACUCGGUUGGUAUUCGAGAGGUCCAGGUUAGAGCCCGACGAGAGCA